ACCGGCGGCUCGAGUGGUGGCCACUAUUACUGGGCUUAAAGCGUUCGUAGCUGGCUUGUUAAGUCUCUGGGGAAAUCUUCCGGCUCAACCGGAAGGCGUCUCAGGGAUACUGGCAGGCUAGGGACCGGAAGAGGUGAGAGGUACUCCAGGGGUUGGGGUGGAAACCCGGUAUCCCUUGGGGGCCACCUGGGGCGGAGGCGGCUCACCAGGUAGGCUCCGGCAGUGGGGAACGAAAACUGGGGGAGCAAACCG
Molecule: ribosomal RNA, 252 nt
Filed under: uncultured prokaryote
Description: partial 16S rRNA
Rfam family: Archaeal small subunit ribosomal RNA
Source: RNAcentral